Long non-coding RNA from Piliocolobus tephrosceles (Ugandan red Colobus), 413 nucleotides. RefSeq lists it as uncharacterized. The record is from RefSeq and is a predicted model, not a curated record. NCBI's taxonomy places the organism in Eukaryota, Metazoa, Chordata, Mammalia, Primates, Cercopithecidae. The transcript is spliced from 2 exons.
AAUCGUAAAAAUGUGUGUAGUUUUAUUGGCAACAAUGUGACGAAGUUAAAAUCGUAAAAAUAUGUCAGUUUCAUUGGCAACAAUGUGAAGAGGUUAAAAUCGUAAAAAUGUGUGCAGUUUCAUUGGUAACAAUGUGACGAGGUUAAAAUCGUAAGAAUAUGUGCAGUUUCAUUGGCAACAAUGUGAAGAGGUUAAAAUCGUAAAAAUAUGUGCAGUUUCAUUGGCAACGAUGUAGCAUAGUAAAAAAAGUAAAAAAAAAGAGAAAAAAAAAAAGAAAUACCCCAGUGGAUUUUUUUUUAUUAUGAUUUAAAACAAUCAAUAAUAACAUAAUAGAAGGACAUAAAUGUACAAUUUAGUAACAUAACUUUAUCGCUAAACUAUAUUUAUAAGGACUUAAGAAAAAAAAAAAAAAA